UUGAUCUCAAAUCAGGUAGGACUACCCGCUGAACUUAAGCAUAUCAAUAAGCGGAGGAAAAGAAACUAACAAGGAUUCCCCUAGUAACUGCGAGUGAAGCGGGAAGAGCUCAAAUUUAAAAUCUGGCGUGCCUCUGGUCGUCCGAGUUGUAGUCUGGAGAAGCGUCUUCCGUGUUGGACCGUGUAUAAGUCUCUUGGAACAGGGCGUCAUAGAGGGUGAGAAUCCCGUCUUUGACACGGACUACCAAUGCUAUGUGAUGCGCUCUCAAAGAGUCGAGUUGUUUGGGAAUGCAGCUCAAAAUGGGUGGUAAAUUCCAUCUAAAGCUAAAUAUAGGCGAGAGACCGAUAGCGAACAAGUACCGUGAGGGAAAGAUGAAA
RNAcentral lists this ribosomal RNA (377 nucleotides) under uncultured Thelephoraceae. RNAcentral describes it as "eukaryotic LSU rRNA". It matches the Rfam family "Eukaryotic large subunit ribosomal RNA", at positions 1 to 369 of the family's 3401-position model. Lineage: Eukaryota; Fungi; Basidiomycota; Agaricomycetes; Thelephorales; Thelephoraceae. The record is from RNAcentral.